Molecule: ribosomal RNA, 821 nt
Filed under: uncultured bacterium
Lineage: Bacteria
Description: bacterial SSU rRNA
Rfam family: Bacterial small subunit ribosomal RNA
Source: RNAcentral
ACGCGUUGGCCCAACUGAUUGAACGUGCUUGCACGGACUUGACGUUGGUUUACCAGCGAGUGGCGGACGGGUGAGCUCACACGUAGGUAACCUGCCCCAAAGCGGGGGAUAACAUUUGGAAACAGAUGCUAAUACCGCAUAACAAUUUGAAUCGCAUGAUUCAAAUUUAAAAGAUGGCUUCGGCUAUCACUUUGGGAUGGACCUGCGGCGCAUUAGCUUGUUGGUAGGGUAACGGCCUACCAAGGCUGUGAUGCGUAGCCGAGUUGAGAGACUGAUCGGCCACAAUGGAACUGAGACACGGUCCAUACUCCUACGGGAGGCAGCAGUAGGGAAUCUUCCACAAUGGGCGCAAGCCUGAUGGAGCAACACCGCGUGAGUGAAGAAGGGUUUCGGCUCGUAAAGCUCUGUUGUUAGAGAAGAACGUGCGUGAGAGCAACUGUUCACGCAGUGACGGUAUCUAACCAGAAAGUCACGGCUAACUACGUGCCAGCAGCCGCGGUAAUACGUAGGUGGCAAGCGUUAUCCGGAUUUAUUGGGCGUAAAGCGAGCGCAGGCGGUUUGAUAAGUCUGAUGUGAAAGCCUUUGGCUUAACCAAAGAAGUGCAUCGGAAACUGUCAGACUUGAGUGCAGAAGAGGACAGUGGAACUCCAUGUGUAGCGGUGGAAUGCGUAGAUAUAUGGAAGAACACCAGUGGCGAAGGCGGCUGUCUGGUCUGCAACUGACGCUGAGGCUCGAAAGCAUGGGUAGCGAACAGGAUUAGAUACCCUGGUAGUCCAUGCCGUAAACGAUGAGUGCUAGGUGUUGGAGGGUUUCCGCCCUUC